GAUGAACGCUGGCGGCGUGCCUAAUACAUGCAAGUCGAGCGAACAGAUGAGGAGCUUGCUCCUCUGACGUUAGCGGCGGACGGGUGAGUAACACGUGGAUAACCUACCUAUAAGACUGGGAUAACUUCGGGAAACCGGAGCUAAUACCGGAUAAUAUAUUGAACCGCAUGGUUCAAUAGUGAAAGACGGUUUUGCUGUCACUUAUAGAUGGAUCCGCGCCGCAUUAGCUAGUUGGUAAGGUAACGGCUUACCAAGGCAACGAUGCGUAGCCGACCUGAGAGGGUGAUCGGCCACACUGGAACUGAGACACGGUCCAGACUCCUACGGGAGGCAGCAGUAGGGAAUCUUACGCAAUGGGCGAAAGCCUGACGGAGCAACGCCGCGUGAGUGAUGAAGGUCCUCGGAUCGUAAAACUCUGUUAUUAGGGAAGAACAAAUGUGUAAGUAACUAUGCACGUCUUGACGGUACCUAAUCAGAAAGCCACGGCUAACUACGUG
RNAcentral lists this ribosomal RNA (497 nucleotides) under uncultured bacterium. RNAcentral's name for it is "partial 16S ribosomal RNA". It matches the Rfam family "Bacterial small subunit ribosomal RNA", at positions 28 to 507 of the family's 1533-position model. The record is from RNAcentral.